CGUCAGCUCGUGUCGUGAGAUGUUCGGUUAAGUCCGGCAACGAGCGCAACCCACAUCCCUAGUUGCCAAUGAUGGAACUCUAGGGAAACUGCCCGUGAUAAGCGGGAGGAAGGUGUGGAUGACGUCAAGUCCUCAUGGCCCUUACGGGUUGGGCUACACACGUGCUACAAUGGCAGUGACAAUGGGUUAAUCCCCAAAAGCUGUCUCAGUUCGGAUUGGGGUCUGCAACUCGACCCCAUGAAGUCGGAAUCGCUAGUAAUCGCGUAACAGCAUGACGCGGUGAAUACGUUCCCGGGCCUU
This 300-nucleotide ribosomal RNA is filed under the name uncultured bacterium. RNAcentral's name for it is "bacterial SSU rRNA". It matches the Rfam family "Bacterial small subunit ribosomal RNA", at positions 1053 to 1382 of the family's 1533-position model. The record is from RNAcentral.